GUAAAAAAUUUAUAAGAAUAUGAUGUUGGUUCAGAUUAAGCGCUAAAUAAGGACAUGACACAUGCGAAUCAUACGUUUAUUAUUGAUAAGAUAAUAAAUAUGUGGUGUAAACGUGAGUAAUUUUAUUAGGAAUUAAUGAACUAUAGAAUAAGCUAAAUACUUAAUAUAUUAUUAUAUAAAAAUAAUUUAUAUAAUAAAAAGGAUAUAUAUAUAAUAUAUAUUUAUCUAUAGUCAAGCCAAUAAUGGUUUAGGUAGUAGGUUUAUUAAGAGUUAAACCUAGCCAACGAUCCAUAAUCGAUAAUGAAAGUUAGAACGAUCACGUUGACUCUGAAAUAUAGUCAAUAUCUAUAAGAUACAGCAGUGAGGAAUAUUGGACAAUGAUCGAAAGAUUGAUCCAGUUACUUAUUAGGAUGAUAUAUAAAAAUAUUUUUAUUUUAUUUAUAAAUAUUAAAUAUUUAUAAUAAUAAUAAUAAUAUAUAUAUAUAAAUUGAUUAAAAAUAAAAUCCAUAAAUAAUUAAAAUAAUGAUAUUAAUUACCAUAUAUAUUUUUAUAUGGAUAUAUAUAUUAAUAAUAAAAUUAAUUUAUUAUUAUUAAUAAUAUAUUUUAAUAGUCCUGACUAAUAUUUGUGCCAGCAGUCGCGGUAACACAAAGAGGGCGAGCGUUAAUCAUAAUGGUUUAAAGGAUCCGUAGAAUGAAUUAUAUAUUAUAAUUUAGAGUUAAUAAAAUUAAUUAAAGAAUUAUAAUAGUAAAGAUGAAAUAAUAAUAAUAAUUAUAAGACUAAUAUAUGUGAAAAUAUUAAUUAAAUAUUAACUGACAUUGAGGGAUUAAAACUAGAGUAGCGAAACGGAUUCGAUACCCGUGUAGUUCUAGUAGUAAACUAUGAAUACAAUUAUUUAUAAUAUAUAUUAUAUAUAAAUAAUAAAUGAAAAUGAAAGUAUUCCACCUGAAGAGUACGUUAGCAAUAAUGAAACUCAAAACAAUAGACGGUUACAGACUUAAGCAGUGGAGCAUGUUAUUUAAUUCGAUAAUCCACGACUAACCUUACCAUAUUUUGAAUAUUAUAAUAAUUAUUAUAAUUAUUAUAUUACAGGCGUUACAUUGUUGUCUUUAGUUCGUGCUGCAAAGUUUUAGAUUAAGUUCAUAAACGAACAAAACUCCAUAUAUAUAAUUUUAAUUAUAUAUAAUUUUAUAUUAUUUAUUAAUAUAAAGAAAGGAAUUAAGACAAAUCAUAAUGAUCCUUAUAAUAUGGGUAAUAGACGUGCUAUAAUAAAAUGAUAAUAAAAUUAUAUAAAAUAUAUUUAAUUAUAUUUAAUUAAUAAUAUAAAACAUUUUAAUUUUUAAUAUAUUUUUUUAUUAUAUAUUAAUAUGAAUUAUAAUCUGAAAUUCGAUUAUAUGAAAAAAGAAUUGCUAGUAAUACGUAAAUUAGUAUGUUACGGUGAAUAUUCUAACUGUUUCGCACUAAUCACUCAUCACGCGUUGAAACAUAUUAUUAUCUUAUUAUUUAUAUAAUAUUUUUUAAUAAAUAUUAAUAAUUAUUAAUUUAUAUUUAUUUAUAUCAGAAAUAAUAUGAAUUAAUGCGAAGUUGAAAUACAGUUACCGUAGGGGAACCUGCGGUGGGCUUAUAAAUAUCUUAAAUAUUCUUACA
Molecule: non-coding RNA, 1645 nt
Filed under: Saccharomyces cerevisiae YJM1342
Lineage: Eukaryota; Fungi; Ascomycota; Saccharomycetes; Saccharomycetales; Saccharomycetaceae
Description: 15S ribosomal RNA
Rfam family: Bacterial small subunit ribosomal RNA
Source: RNAcentral